RNAcentral lists this small nuclear RNA (189 nucleotides) under Betta splendens (Siamese fighting fish). RNAcentral describes it as "U2 spliceosomal RNA (ENSBSLG00000004645.1)". It matches the Rfam family "U2 spliceosomal RNA". Rfam says of the family: U2 is a small nuclear RNA (snRNA) component of the spliceosome (involved in pre-mRNA splicing). Complementary binding between U2 snRNA (in an area lying towards the 5' end but 3' to hairpin I) and the branchpoint sequence (BPS) of the intron results the bulging out of an unpaired adenosine, on the BPS, which initiates a nucleophilic attack at the intronic 5' splice site, thus starting the first of two transesterification reactions that mediate splicing. The record is from Rfam by way of RNAcentral. Lineage: Eukaryota; Metazoa; Chordata; Actinopteri; Anabantiformes; Osphronemidae.
AUCGCUUCUCGGCCUUUUGGCUAAGAUCAAGUGUAGUAUCUGUUCUUAUCAGUUUAAUAUCUGAUACGUCCCCUACCCGGGACCAUAUAUUAAAUUGAUUUUUGAGCAGGGAGAUGGAAUAGGGGCUUGCUCCGUCCACUCCACGCAUCGACCCAGUAUUGCAGUACUUCUGGGAACGGUGCACCCCCU